Molecule: transfer RNA, 73 nt
Filed under: Schistocerca americana (American grasshopper)
Lineage: Eukaryota; Metazoa; Arthropoda; Insecta; Orthoptera; Acrididae
Description: tRNA-Lys
Rfam family: tRNA
About the family: Transfer RNA (tRNA) molecules are approximately 80 nucleotides in length. Their secondary structure includes four short double-helical elements and three loops (D, anti-codon, and T loops).
Source: RNAcentral
GCCCGGCUAGCUCUGUCGGUAGAGCAUGAGACUCUUAAUCUCAGGGUCGUGGGUUCGAGCGCCACGCUGGGCG